Molecule: long non-coding RNA, 634 nt
Organism: Gallus gallus (chicken)
Lineage: Eukaryota; Metazoa; Chordata; Aves; Galliformes; Phasianidae
Exons: 3
Source: RefSeq, a predicted model, not a curated record
GGAUUCAUCACAUGAUAUUAAAGAAAAAAGUGGCUGCCGUUCUGACCAAGAAAGUCCUGGUAUGGAACAACCAAUUCCAGACAAGAGGUUUCAAAGAAGGAAAUGCAGGCUUUCAGAAAAUUUAAGGAGGCUUUCAGCCAGUGGAAACAAAGGAUUUUUCUAAAGCCUUCCAAUAACAGAGGAGAAGAAAUAAUUAUUCUAUCACUUUGGGAAGUGAACCUGAUGGAAAGGAUCUAAGACGUGACUGCAAGACCAGUCACCAUGGUGUGAACAACCACAUAUACACCCUGAACAAUGCUGUUUCAAAGCCACUUGAACAGAUCAACAACGAAACACGCUGAGUUAAUCACCAUUCAUGCUUGCCAACAGCCAGCACACAUUCCCCUGACAUGGGAAGGGGUAACUCUGCAGCUCUGUUUAACCAAAUGAACAGGCCUCAGGAAAUCAGUGUGGUAAGUAUCACUCUCCAGACAAUUAACUCCUGCUUUCACAUUAUACUGAUGCUUUUGUUAUGUGCAAAGUGUUGUGACUUUCAACAUAAAGCCUAAAAUAUUGUUCUACAGUAUUGUUUAUAUAGACAGACAUAUAAAAAGUUGUUCAUUGUGUUGUGGUUUUUUGUUUGUUUGUUUGUUUG